CUACGGGAUGCUGCAGUGAGGAAUAUUGCACAAUGGGGGGAACCCUGAUGCAGCAACGCCGCGUGGAGGAUGACGCAUUUCGGUGUGUAAACUCCUUUUAUAUGUCAAGAAAAUGACGGUAGCAUAUGAAUAAGCACCGGCUAACUCCGUGCCAGCAGCCGCGGUAAUACGGAGGGUGCAAGCGUUACUCGGAAUCACUGGGCGUAAAGGACGCGUAGGCGGGUAGGAAAGUCAGGUGUGAAAUCCUACAGCUUAACUGUAGAACUGCACUUGAAACUUCUAAUCUAGAGUAUGGGAGGGGGAGAUGGAAUUAGUGGUGUAGGGGUAAAAUCCGUAGAUAUCACUAGGAAUACCUAAAGCGAAGGCGAUCUCCUGGAACAUUACUGACGCUAAGGCGUGAAAGCGUGGGGAGCAAACAGGAUUAGAUACCCUAGUAGUC
RNAcentral lists this ribosomal RNA (439 nucleotides) under uncultured bacterium. RNAcentral describes it as "partial 16S ribosomal RNA". It matches the Rfam family "Bacterial small subunit ribosomal RNA", at positions 339 to 795 of the family's 1533-position model. The record is from RNAcentral.